Molecule: RNA transcript, 3219 nt
Organism: Vigna radiata var. radiata (mung bean)
Lineage: Eukaryota; Viridiplantae; Streptophyta; Magnoliopsida; Fabales; Fabaceae
Gene name: F-box protein At5g49610-like
Exons: 3
Source: RefSeq, a predicted model, not a curated record
AACAAAAUAAAACCCUGAAUUGGUCUUAAUUCUGCAUUCAUCACAUCAAAUACAUCCUAAGUUUACUCGUUUAUGUCUACUUCUCAUUCUUCACAUACCAUGUUCCUUCGAUUCGAUCCCCUUCUCUUUUCUUCUAUCUUCUCUCCCUCUAUUUUCAUUGUGCGACCAAGUUCGUAUUUCCAAUCAUUAACUUCUAAACGUUUUCGGGUAAACGCUUAGCCAUAUUAUAUAUUCAAUCUUGCGUGUGUGGCGAUAAUGACGACAUAUCCCCCAUUAUUUUUUUCAAACGUAAAGGGGAUUUGAAGACCCAUUGUUCGCUUUCCCAUUCUCCAACCAUCGCAAACCCACCACCGCCCAAAAGGUGAAUCCUUUCUUCAUCGGAUACCCCGAAUUUUGUUCCGGUUCUCCGUUAUGGAUAUGCGAGGAGAUGGGAUUUUCCCGGAUGAGGUUGUCAUUCAGAUUCUUGCAAGGUUGCCUGUGAAGUCCCUUUUCAGGUUCAAAACCGUGUGCAAACUGUGGAAUAGGUUGUCUUUGGAUAAGUAUUUUGUUCAACUCUACAAUGAGGUUUCUAGGAAGAACCCCAUGAUUCUGGUCGAGGUUUCUGAUUCGUAUGGGUCCAAAUCUAGCUUAAUAUGUGUUGAUAAUUUAAGGGGCGUGUCUGAAUUUUCACUGAGUUUCUUGAAUGAUAGAGUUAAGGUUCGAGCAUCUUGUAAUGGCUUGCUGUGUUGCUCUAGUAUUCCUGAUAAGGGUGUCUUCUAUGUCUGCAAUCCGGUCACUCGCGAGUACCGGUUGCUUCCCAAGAGUAGGGAAAGGCCUGUGACUCGGUUUUAUCCGGAUGGUGAGGCUACCUUGGUUGGCUUGGCCUGUGAUUCUUCUUAUCAGAAGUUCAAUGUUGUUCUGGCGGGUUACCAUCGCACUUUUGGUCAUAGGCCAGAUGGGAGUUUCAUAUGUUUGGUGUUUAAUUCUGAGUUGAACAAGUGGAGAAAGUUUGUCUCAUUACAAGAUGACCAUUUCACUCACAUGAAUAAGAACCAGGUUGUUUUUAUCAAUAAUGCUCUGCACUGGUUGACAGUUAGCUCUACUUAUAUACUUGUGCUUGAUUUAAGUUGUGACGUUUGGAGGAAGAUGCAACUACCUUAUGACUUGAUUUAUGGAAAUGGUUAUAGGAUUUAUCUCUUGGACUUUGAUGGCUGCUUGUCUGUUAUUAAAAUUUCAGAAGCAUGGAUGAAUAUAUGGGUGCUAAAAGAUUACUGGAAAGAUGAAUGGUGUAUGGUGGAUAAGGUGAGUCUGAGGUGUAUCAGAGGAAUGGUGCCAGGCAUUUUCCCGAUCAGUCAGACAGGUGAAUAUAUUUUUUUGGCAACUCAUAAGCAGAUUUUGGUGUAUCAUUGCAAGAGUCAAGUUUGGAAAGAAAUGUACUCUGUGAAGUAUAGCUCUACACUCCCAUUAUGGUUUUCUGCUCAUGCAUAUCGCAGCACAAUGUUCUCAUGCAACUGAGUCAGGGUGACUUCAUCAAAUAACUUUUGUACGUACAUUUUUAGUUACAAGUGUUUUAUAUUCAUUUAAGCCAAUGUUAUUUGCUUUAGAUAUCAUUUGUUUCUGGUAGUCAUGCUAAAACUAUGGUGUUGGCUUUGCCAUGGAAGUUCCAUUAUAUUGUUCCACUGCUGUCUCUUGUAACCGAGUUGUGGCUUCAAUAAAUAGCCUUUGUACAUAGAUUUGUGGUUGCGUCUGAUACCUAUUUAGCCAAUUAUUGUUUGCUGAAGAUAUUGUAUUUUCUGAUGCAUUUUAUUUUAAAAUUAUUUCAUUGACUUUGCCAUGAAGGUCCUAUCACAAAUAUUUUAGCAUCAUCUAUUGGAUUUAUCUGUUCACUCGCACAAAACAAAGUAUGAAACAGGUACCAUAUUGUUAGAGAUUUUAUCAUUCAGGUACCAUAUUGUUAGAUAUAAUCCUAUUAAUUUGGGUUCUCUUUCUCCCUUAUCAAGUAGGAUAAUUCUUAGUUAUGAUGCUCUUAACGAUGGAUCUUUGUGGCCUUUUAUAGGACAGACCUAUUUGGAAUAUUACCAAGACAAGUUAUUUUUCAGAAAAGAAAAAAACUCACGUUUGUCAAAACUAUUGAGUGGGAUAAUUUCUGAUCAGUAACACUGUAAAAAAAAUUAAACUAGGAGUGCAUGUAAAUUAUAUGUAGUGUAUACCCUGUUCACUAAAUAGCCAGUUACGUAUUUAUUCUAUUUUAUGUUAUCUAAUUUUCUUUUCAAGCUUAAACAGUCCAACUUUAGCAUGUCUGGUUUCAGGAACCUAUAACUAAAUACUGGGUUUGUUAUAUUUAUUUGCAAUAUUCACAUGCAACUUCGUAAAUUACAUACUAUUUUUCUUUUCUCUUGGUAUGAAACAACAUGAGUUGAAUUUAUAGUUAGCGCUUGGUAGAUAUCCAGACCCUUCUAUUUACGUAGGCGAAUUUAGCAUUCUUGCUAUUUAAAAACACGUUUGCUUGUGAAUAAAACAAUUAAACACUAUAAUCAGUGAGUCAGCACUCAGCAGCAGUUUAUCAUCACUGUGCAAAUUCAUGCUCAUUGAUAACACUUGCUGGUUGUUACAUGAAAUGACAAUUUUUUUCACAUGUAGUAUCUGUACUUCUUUAGUCGAAACUAUCACUAUUUUGUGACAAGCACGAAACACUUUUAGUAGCCAUUCUUCUGAUUGUGCAGUUUUUUAUCUGAUAAUGUCAUAUAAAGCCUAUGUAAAUAUAUUGCUCCAGUAAUGCAAAGCACUAGUUGUCUAGGACCUGCAGAUUUCACUUUGUUCUGUUUUGGAAAUUUAAUAAUGCAUAUUAUGAAAUGCUGCAAGGCAACAACAUGGAUCUCAUGUAGCGGUUUCAUGCAACAAAACAUUUCUUUGAGACUAUUUGGUGGACAGAAUAAAAGUUUGUUGGAUAGCCUGUGUGAGCAACACAGUUGAAUCACUUCCCCCUUGCAGAAUGAAGACGGUUUGAUCUUUCACAUAGGUAGGAUUCACAUGUGAUUAUGUGACCUAAAGAAAAAUAAAAUUAGAAUUGAUCUCAUGGUUAUUUUGUGCAUGUCAAUAUAGUAGUCAGUAGAGAAAAAUAUCAGUUUUGGUCUGAAUUGGUUAAAUGAAGAUACGUUUUUUCAUGUUCUUGUUUCAUUUGACUAUGACUGUCCUAUUUAGGAUGUUUUUGCUAUAUAUUUCAAACUCCAACUUUCUCUA